RNAcentral lists this small RNA (96 nucleotides) under [Bacillus] enclensis. Its description in RNAcentral is "Bacillus enclensis Guanidine-I sequence". It matches the Rfam family "Guanidine-I riboswitch aptamer". From Rfam's summary of the family: This family represents a conserved RNA structure found upstream of the ykkC and yxkD genes in Bacillus subtilis and related genes in other bacteria. The function of this family is unclear although it has been suggested that it may function to switch on efflux pumps and detoxification systems in response to harmful environmental molecules. Lineage: Bacteria; Bacillati; Bacillota; Bacilli; Caryophanales; Bacillaceae. The record is from RNAcentral.
GAAAAGACUUUCUAGGGUUCCGCCACUUACGGGUCUGGUCCGAGAGAAAGCGCAAAGAGCGAUCUUUGUACACGGAGGGAGAAAAGCCCGGGAGAU